AGUGAACGCUGGCGGUAGGCCUAACACAUGCAAGCCGAACGGCAGCACAGUAAGAGCUUGCUCUUACGGGUGGCGAGUGGCGGACGGGUGAGGAAUACAUCGGAAUCUACUUUUUCGUGGGGGAUAACGUAGGGAAACUUACGCUAAUACCGCAUACGACCUACGGGUGAAAGCAGGGGAUCUUCGGACCUUGCGCGAUUGAAUGAGCCGAUGUCGGAUUAGCUAGUUGGCGGGGUAAAGGCCCACCAAGGCGACGAUCCGUAGCUGGUCUGAGAGGAUGAUCAGCCACACUGGAACUGAGACACGGUCCAGACCCCUACGGGAGGCAGCAGUGGGGAAUAUUGGACAAUGGGCGCAAGCCUGAUCCAGCCAUACCGCGUGGGUGAAGAAGGCCUUCGGGUUGUAAAGCCCUCUUGUUGGGAAAGAAAAGCAGCAGGUUAAUACCCCGCUGUUCUGACGGUACCCAAAGAAUAAGCACCGGCUAACUUCGUG
Molecule: ribosomal RNA, 492 nt
Filed under: uncultured bacterium
Lineage: Bacteria
Description: partial 16S ribosomal RNA
Rfam family: Bacterial small subunit ribosomal RNA
Source: RNAcentral